GAUGAACGCUGGCGGCGUGCUUAACACAUGCAAGUCGAACGGGAAAUACUUCAUUGAGACUUCGGUGGAUUUGAUUUAUUUCUAGUGGCGGACGGGUGAGUAACGCGUGGGUAACCUGCCUUAUACAGGGGGAUAACAGUCAGAAAUGGCUGCUAAUACCGCAUAAGCGCACAGAGCUGCAUGGCUCAGUGUGAAAAACUCCGGUGGUAUAAGAUGGACCCGCGUUGGAUUAGCUGGUUGGUGGGGUAACGGCCCACCAAGGCGACGAUCCAUAGCCGGCCUGAGAGGGUGAACGGCCACAUUGGGACUGAGACACGGCCCAGACUCCUACGGGAGGCAGCAGUGGGGAAUAUUGCACAAUGGGGGAAACCCUGAUGCAGCGACGCCGCGUGAAGGAAGAAGUAUCUCGGUAUGUAAACUUCUAUCAGCAGGGAAGAUAGUGACGGUACCUGACUAAGAAGCCCCGGCUAACUACGUGCCAGCAGCCGCGGUAAUACGUAGGGGGCAAGCGUUAUCCGGAUUUACUGGGUGUAAAGGGAGCGUAGACGGUGUGGCAAGUCUGAUGUGAAAGGCAUGGGCUCAACCUGUGGACUGCAUUGGAAACUGUCAUACUUGAGUGCCGGAGGGGUAAGCGGAAUUCCUAGUGUAGCGGUGAAAUGCGUAGAUAUUAGGAGGAACACCAGUGGCGAAGGCGGCUUACUGGACGGUAACUGACGUUGAGGCUCGAAAGCGUGGGGAGCAAACAA
This 746-nucleotide ribosomal RNA is filed under the name uncultured bacterium. Its description in RNAcentral is "bacterial SSU rRNA". It matches the Rfam family "Bacterial small subunit ribosomal RNA", at positions 28 to 775 of the family's 1533-position model. The record is from RNAcentral.